RNAcentral lists this long non-coding RNA (2072 nucleotides) under Cyanistes caeruleus (blue tit). RNAcentral's name for it is "lncRNA (ENSCCEG00000009829.1)". Lineage: Eukaryota; Metazoa; Chordata; Aves; Passeriformes; Paridae. The record is from RNAcentral.
CCACCGUUUUGUUAUGGUACUUUGUGGAAAUAGAAAUGGCCUCAAUUGCUUAAGUUACAGGUUUCACACUUACACUACAACUUUUUAUUUUUUUUUACAUUGGGAUUCACUUGUAAGUCAUGUAUCAUUGUGAUCUACACCAGUGUUCAAGGUGUGGCAGCAUUACUUAUUUCUGGCAUUUCACCUGGACUUGGAAAUGCACUGGUAGGAAUAAAAUAUGAAAGCUUUAUUACUUGUGUUAAUAUAAUGCAGCUUUGGGUGCUUUUACUAAAUAAAGGAUAAAUAAAAAAGAAAAAAAAGGUGACAUUUAUUUAUGUGAAGUUCUUUUUUUUUUCCUAGGUUUCCUUAUCUCAGGUAAAUUAACUUGAUUAAACUACAUUGACUUUCUUUGUUCCUUUGCUAACUUGCUUCAAAGUAAGUGGAGAACAAAUGGUUCAAGUUACACCACAGAUUUCUCAGUGAGAGAAAACUAAGCAAAUGAAUGGUAGUCAGUGGAAGCUUCUGUACUGUCUGAAGUUCAGCCUGUUUCUAGUAGUUAAAGACCAUUAUGACUUUGUGUGCAUUGAAUACAGUUUGGGAAACUCCUGAUUCUCUUCUUUAAGCCUCAUAAAUUCACUACAGUGGGGAAAAAAGGUCAGAUUUCUAUACUGAUUUUCCCAUCCCCACUUAAUGUGGAUGUGUUCUCAAAGUGAUGGUCGAGGAGCCACACAUAAUUUUCUAGGUCAGCCUUGGUAAUACACACAGUACUGGAGUGGGGUAUUCCCCCUCUAUUGAUGUGGGUGGGCUCAUCUGAGCUGCCAAGAUCUGAGCCAUGACGGCGUGCAAACACCUCCUCUGCACUUCAGAUGAGCACCUCCGUUCACCUCUUGUGAGCACAAGCACCACUACCAGCGUGUUAGUGGCUACUCUAAGUCAUAUGGAUUGCCAGUAACUUCUUGUUCUGCAACUUCCCAGACUACUCUUGCUGGUGAUAUCUGCUGCACAGCCCCAGCCGGUGUCAGCCUCUGCCUUUGCUCCCCAGAACUUGGAAGAAAGCCGAAGAGAGAUCAGGGAAAGGAUGUGGAGAAUCAAACAUUUCCAAAUAAAAAGGUGUGUGGAAGAAAGAUCUUUGGUUUUCAGUUUGCUCCUGAGUUUGCUGUGGCCUGCAAUUUUGCAUCCUAUUAAAUGUAAGUGCUGGAUGUUCUCUGGCAUUUCUCCAUGCCUUUGCUUAUAAUUAGUGACUAUUUUUGUGAUUUCUUUACCUGUUCUUUUAUCCAGGUAAUCCAGCAGGACUGCUGUGACAGUCCUGUGCUGGUGGUGUCUGCUACUUUCGUAAAGACUGCUUCCCCAGUUUAGAAGAAGCAAAUACAACCAAACCAAUGAAGAAUUCACCUCCAAAACUUGAUGCUUUGAGCUCAGGACUCCUCCUGCUCUGGGACACCCAGCAAAAGCCAAAGCAGGGAAUGGUGUGAAUCCUCCUUUAUCUCUGCAGCCUCAAGCCAGUUUUGGCUGGCUGUGUUGGAGGUGCUAAGACACUGAGGUGGUGCUGGAUGACAGCAGGGGACUGGGGCUGAGUAUUUUUCCUAAUCAUGCUUGUUUGAGGAAUUGGGUUAAUUCUGGGCUGAAUGCCCACUUGGCACCGUGUGAAACUCCAUGUAAGUUGUUUAGGUUUGUUGUUUCUCCUGUAAACAACAAAACUGCUGGUGUUUAUUCAGGCAUUGUGAAGGAAACACAUGGGAUAAAAGGGAAUUCUUACUGCAGGCAAGAUUAGCACCCGAAUGGUGGGUGAGGCUUCAUGCAAGACAUGUCACAAAGGCAUCCUCUGUUCCCCAGGAGAUCAGUGGAUUAGGAGGCUGCCGGUACCCCUGGGCUUGGUGCGGGCUGCCUGACUGUGGGUGUACCAUGUGCAGAUGUAGCACUUCCUCGGGGGUGCGCUGCUCUGAAAUGAGUGGUUACAUAUAAAAAAUGGUUUUGAGGCCUGAACCAGUUGAAGUCAUUGGGAAAAACUCUGCAACUUUAAAGGGGUUUGGAUUAAAGCCAUAAGAAAAUUUCAGUUUGUUUUUUUUAAAUAAACACUCCCCAACUUGUAAUCA